GCACAAGCAGCGGAGCGUGUGGUUUAAUUCGAUGCUACACGAAGAACCUUACCAGGGUUUGACAUACAAGUAGUAGGGAAAGGAAACUGGACCGACCCUUCGGGGAGCUUGUACAGGUGCUGCAUGGCUGUCGUCAGCUCGUGUCGUGAGAUGUUCGGUUAAGUCCGCUAACGAGCGCAACCCUCGCUGUGUGUUACAAGUGUCACACGGAACUGCCGGUCAUAAACCGGAGGAAGGUGGGAUGACGUCAAGUCAGCAUGGCCUUUAUGUCCAGGGCUACACACGUGUUACAAUGGCCGGCACAGAGGGCAGCUACCUGGUGACGGGAUGCUAAUCUCGAAAACCGGUCUCAGUUCGGAUCGAAGUCUGCAACUCGACUUCGUGAAGCUGGAUUCGCUAGUAAUCGCGCAUCAGCCAUGGCGCGGUGAAUACGUUCCCGGGCCUU
RNAcentral lists this ribosomal RNA (445 nucleotides) under uncultured Longilinea sp. RNAcentral's name for it is "bacterial SSU rRNA". It matches the Rfam family "Bacterial small subunit ribosomal RNA", at positions 923 to 1382 of the family's 1533-position model. The record is from RNAcentral. Lineage: Bacteria; Bacillati; Chloroflexota; Anaerolineae; Anaerolineales; Anaerolineaceae.